Molecule: ribosomal RNA, 845 nt
Filed under: uncultured bacterium
Lineage: Bacteria
Description: bacterial SSU rRNA
Rfam family: Bacterial small subunit ribosomal RNA
Source: RNAcentral
AUGCGGUGCUUGAUAAGGCAAGUCGAACGGGUUGGCUAGGGGCCGAAGCCUUGGAAGGGGCGGAAGAUGAGAAAUCGUUGGAAGUCUUGGAAGGGGUAGAGGUCUUGGUGCUGGCCAGUGGCAAACGGGUGCGUAACACGUGGGUUACCUACCUCGGAGUGGGGAAUAACGAUCCGAAAGGGUCGCUAAUACCGCAUACGCUCGCAAGAGGAAAGCUCGCAAGAGCGCUCGGAGAGGGGCCUGCGUCCCAUCAGGUAGUUGGUGAGGUAAGGGCUCACCAAGCCGAUGACGGGUAGCUGGUCUGAGAGGACGAUCAGCCACACUGGCACUGCGACACGGGCCAGACUCCUGCGGGAGGCAGCAGUGAGGAAUAUUGCACAAUGGGCGAAAGCCUGACGCAGCAACGCCGCGUGCGGGAUGAAGGCCUUCGGGUCGUAAACCGCUUUUCGGGGGGACGAGUGAGGACGGUACCCCUGGAAUCAGUCUCGGCUAACUACGUGCCAGCAGCCGCGGUAAAACGUAGGAGGCGAGCGUUAUCCGGAUUCACUGGGCGUAAAGCGCAUGUAGGGGGUUCGUCAAGUCGCGUGUGAAAGCCUCUGGCUUAACUGGGGGAGGUCACGCGAAACUGGCGGACUUGAGGGCCGGAGAGGAAGGUGGAAUUCCCGGUGUAGCGGUGGAAUGCGUAGAGAUCGGGAGGAACACCAGUGGCGAACGCGGCUCUCUGGCCUGACCCUGACGCUGAGAGGCGAAAGCUAGGGGAGCGAACGGGAUUAGAUACCCCGGUAGUCCUAGCUGUAAACGUUGGGUACUGGGUAUUGGGGGGGCAACAAACCCUCAGUGCCGAG